This 424-nucleotide ribosomal RNA is filed under the name uncultured bacterium. Its description in RNAcentral is "partial 16S ribosomal RNA". It matches the Rfam family "Bacterial small subunit ribosomal RNA", at positions 360 to 776 of the family's 1533-position model. The record is from RNAcentral.
AAUUUUGGACAAUGGGCGCAAGCCUGAUCCAGCAAUGCCGCGUGCAGGAUGAAGGCCUNAGGGUUNUNAACUGCUUUUGUACGGANAGAAAAGACUUCGGUUUAUACCCUGGGAUCCUGCCGGUACCGUAAGAAUAAGCACCGCCUAACUACGUGCCAUCAGCCGCGGUAAUACGUAGGGUGCAAGCGUUAAUCGGAAUUACUGGGCGUAAAGCGUGCGCAGGCGGUUUUGUAAGACAGUGGUGAAAUCCCCGGGCUCAACCUGGGAACUGCCAUUGUGACUGCAGGGCUGGAGUGCGGCAGAGGGGGAUGGAAUUCCGCGUGUAGCAGUGAAAUGCGUAGAUAUGCGGAGGAACACCGAUGGCGAAGGCAAUCCCCUGGGCCUGCACUGACGCUCAUGCACGAAAGCGUGGGGAGCAAACAGG